Oreochromis niloticus (Nile tilapia) is the source of this 872-nucleotide long non-coding RNA. RefSeq lists it as uncharacterized. The transcript is spliced from 3 exons. Lineage: Eukaryota; Metazoa; Chordata; Actinopteri; Cichliformes; Cichlidae. The record is from RefSeq and is a predicted model, not a curated record.
GAACGAUCCCAAAACAAGAAGAGACAAAAAUUAAAUAAAUAAAAUUUUAAAAGGCUGGGUAAACCAAGCAAAGGAACACAGGUUUUCAAAAAUCUAUGCCUUUGUAAUGGUAAUAAAACUGCCUGCAGUGUAGUAAAGCCAGAGAUGACUUGGUGGCUUUGUUGUCAGUUAGUAACCAUGGUGGCUUUAAGAAGAACCCCCCCCCCCCCAGCUACUUAUUAAAAUCACAGCCUCUUAGCAUUGAAAGCUCUGCAUCUGUCUCAAGUGAUUAGCUGGCUGCUGGCUCUGCUGUGGAUACCAGGGGGCCGUGAUUGCCACUGCUACAUCACUUCAGCCUCAAGCACCCCGACUAAUCCUAAAAUCAUUUCAGACUAUUGCCAGUUGGUCAGAAAUUAAAGAAAUGAAUAUAGCGGAACCAUGAACGUCGCUCACUUCAAUUUAGAAACGAAGCUGGUAAUAAAGCUGGUGAUAAAGGAGAAGCAGACGGGAUAUAACUCGUCAGCAGAAACCAGCAGCUUCAGCAGACAAAGGAACAGGACGAGAAACUAGCAAGAGAUCAUAAGGAACACUCGUUUUUUGUUGUAAACAGUUAUAAAUAGUUGCAAAUAUAUCAAUAAACUUUCAUUAUUUAAUUAUAAAACCAUCUACUUUUUGUGUGCUUUUUUUCCUAUAUUACCAAAUGUAUAUAAUGACAACUAUUUAUUUAACUCUGUUUGCGGCAUAGUUUUUUAAGUCUAGUCCCCAGAUCGUUUAUUAGUAGAUUAUUUUAAUUUUCAUUUGUAUGUUUUAUUGAUUGGUGUUUACUCAUUUCUGCCUCCAUGGUUUUAUGUCUGUAUUGGCAGUGAACAGAAGUUGUUUAUUGUACUUUCAAA